RNAcentral lists this long non-coding RNA (2468 nucleotides) under Homo sapiens (human). RNAcentral describes it as "long independently transcribed non-coding RNA 2347 (LINC02347)". Lineage: Eukaryota; Metazoa; Chordata; Mammalia; Primates; Hominidae. The record is from RNAcentral.
GGGAAUACCAGGGGUGGGCACUGUCAAGAGACCCAGCUUUGACUUCAAAUGCCACCCAGAGGGACAACUGCUCACUUUCAGAGCAGGAGCAGGAGGCCAGAGGAGAGUGGGUCCCUAUGAUCCAGACCUCAAGAGAGGGUUCCUGGACCUCCCACAGAAAGGGAUUCAAGACCAGCUGAAACUGAUUAGAGCCAAGAUAGCCAACCAAAUGACUUCAGGAAGACCUCAGGCUUCAUUAUCAUCUCAUUUCCAUGCUAAAAAAACCCAGCUCCCUAGAACAAUGGGAAAUAUUGGGCACUUCAUCAGGCGAGUUCAGGUGCAUUUCUAGAGAUUGUCCAGGUGCUGGUAACAAUAAUAGAGAACCAUCCAUAUCCACAAGAGGCAGAACCUCUUCCAGCAAAAUGGUGCUGCCUCACCCAAAGGUGGCCGAGGAGGCCGUCGGAGGACCACAAAGCUGCAAGUGGCUUUCCUGCGGCCUGCAGGGAACAGGUGGAGGACACUUGGAAGGGCACCCACCCCGGGUCUCACAGGAGUCUGCACCCGCAGGUCACACUGGCAUUAGCCCCUCAUCCUCUGGAGUUCAUCUCAUCCAGGCGAAGACAGCUGGCUGGCCUCAGAGGGUGAGACGCAACUCGAGGGUAAAAACAUUUUUACAGGGCAUGGACACAAAAGUGGCCUUUACCUCUGGAUAAGCUUUUAAAACUUCCCAUUUACAUGUAAAGGUGUACUUUCUAUGUGCCACCAAGAAACCUAAAGUGAGUAAAAGGUGUUUCACUUUAAUCAAGUUCCCCAAUGAGGGGGCACAGCUCUGAAAAGCACUGUCACAACAGGAGAUUCGAGGGUGCAUGCAAAGCAAUGUUUCUAGAAAAUGCCAAAGGAAACAGACACAACUCCAGUGUGGACUCCCGCUUCCCUGCACUGCUGCUCCAUCCUCAGGGCGGAGGCCACAUCGUCCAGCUAGCUGUGAGAACCUCAUCAUGCUCCUUGAUUGUGUGCAGCAGGUGUCUGCUGAAGUCCUCCACACUCUGCCUGUCUCAUCCGCUGAGCAGUGCCUCCUCCCGAUUCAGCACGUCCCUGGUGCCGACUUUCUGCACGUGUUCACUUUGAGGCUGCAUUGUGGGCCUGCAAGAAAUGCAAAGCUGGUUGAGGCUUUAUUCAAUUCAAAUUCAAGCUGUUAAAUCGAGGCUCUCAGACUCCUGCUGCCUGGCCAGUGGAGAAAUUAACUUUCACAUAUGGCUUUGGGAUUUCUCUCUGUCAUCCUGGUCGACGUGUUCUCUCAUUUUUCUGAAGUCUGGGACCUCAACACAGACAUCUGGGUGAAGGCCUUGACAGCAGCGCUGGUGCAAAAUGAAUUGUCACAUCACACCCAACGUUCUCAACCUUUAGAAUCUGAAAGUAAGAAAAACACCUCAAACAAAACAUUAAAGAUUGAAUAAUUGAAGGCACUAUGCUUGGUGCUGAAGAAGGUCUAAGGAGGUCUACACCACAGAGGCUGCACCCACUCCUCAGCCUUGCUGAGCCACACCAUUCUCAUCUCUACAGCAUCCACCUCUCUUGGCUCUUGUAAGGAUUGAGACAUGCCACCAGGCUUACUAUUGAUUCUGAGUAAUCAGCACAGAUUUCUAAAAGAAACUUUAUGGGAUGCUGAGACAUGAAUAAAAACAACUUUAUUCCUUUGGAAAGGACAACCCACAUGCUAAGAAGAUGACACUACACGUUGUUAUAGCCCGAAAGGCCCUCUUUCCACAGGGGAGCAGUGAAAAGUAGAGGUUGCCCAUGUGGAUUCCCAAGUCAGAUAGAUGUGGAUUCAGAUCCCAGCUCUGCUGCUUGCUACCCAAGAGACCAUGGACUGUGGACUCUUUAGGUCUCAGGGUUUUUGUUUGUUGUCUGUUUUUCACUUCCAAAACCAGAAAAUGAGAAGAUAUUUUCCAUAAGAUGGCGGUGGAGAAGAGAACUUGAUGGACCUUGCUUGGACAAAAUGCCUUCACCGCUAACUCAGUCAGCUAUGGCGAUGGGUCAAGGACCUGGUGGUUUUACAGAGAAGACCCUUGGUCAAAUCUUUGUGAAUGAAGCAACCAUUCUGAUGUUCAAUAACAGGAAUGCACCAGUUUAUACCAAACUAUCUGUACUAUUGAGAACAGCAAAAAUAUCUGACCAAAAACACCAAAGAGUGACAUUUUAAAAGACAUCAAAGAACUCUCAAGGCUUCCAGAGUUGGAAAGAUCAAGAAAGAGAGAAUGCAACUUCAUUAAGUGACUCAACUCCAAAUAGGAGCAUUUCAAGAGUAUGUAUUUCAACAAAGAAGUAUUAGAAGAUGACAGUGUCCUUGCAGUAUCUUUUAGGGGCUAUCAGAACAUGAUUUCUGCUAUAUUCUAUCAUCGGAGCCUUAAUAAUGUUAACUAUAAUUCAAGGGAAGAUCAAAUAAACUUCACCUUUCAAGGAAAGGAGUAACAAAAAAAAAAAAAAAA